This 402-nucleotide ribosomal RNA is filed under the name uncultured bacterium. RNAcentral's name for it is "bacterial SSU rRNA". It matches the Rfam family "Bacterial small subunit ribosomal RNA", at positions 917 to 1322 of the family's 1533-position model. The record is from RNAcentral.
GGGCCCGCACAAGCGGUGGAGCAUGUGGUUUAAUUCGAUGAUACGCGAGGAACCUUACCAGGGCUUAAAUGGGAAAUGACAGGGGCAGAGACGCCCCCUUCUUCGGACAUUUUUCAAGGUGCUGCAUGGUUGUCGUCAGCUCGUGCCGUGAGGUGUCAGGUUAAGUCCUAUAACGAGCGCAACCCCUACCGUUAGUUGCCAGCGUGUAAUGACGGGGACUCUAACGGAACUGCCGGUGCAAACCGUGAGGAAGGUGGGGACGACGUCAAAUCAUCACGGCCCUUACGUCCUGGGCCACACACGUGCUACAAUGGUAGGUACAGAGGGAAGCCACCCCGCGAGGGGGCGCAAAUCCAUAAAACCGAUCUCAGUUCGGAUUGGAGUCUGCAACUCGACUCCAUG